RNAcentral lists this ribosomal RNA (384 nucleotides) under uncultured bacterium. Its description in RNAcentral is "partial 16S ribosomal RNA". It matches the Rfam family "Bacterial small subunit ribosomal RNA", at positions 355 to 727 of the family's 1533-position model. The record is from RNAcentral.
UGGGGAAUUUUGGACAAUGGGGGAAACCCUGAUCCAGCCAUCCCGCGUGUGCGAUGAAGGCCUUCGGGUUGUAAAGCACUUUUGGCAGGAAAGAAACGUCGCGGGUUAAUACCCCGCGAAACUGACGGGUACCUGCAGAAUAAGCACCGGCUAACUACGUGCCAGCAGCCGCGGUAAUACGUAGGGUGCAAGCGUUAAUCGGAAUUACUGGGGCGUAAAGCGUGCGCAGGCGGUUCGGAAAGGAAAGAUGUGAAAUCCCGAGAGCUUAACUUUGGGAACUGCAUUUUUAACUACCGGGCUGAGUGUGUCAGAGGGAGGUGGAAUUCCGCGUGUAGCAGUGAAAUGCGUAGAUAUGCGGAGGAACACCGAUGGCGAAGGCAGCCU